RNAcentral lists this ribosomal RNA (369 nucleotides) under uncultured bacterium. RNAcentral's name for it is "bacterial SSU rRNA". It matches the Rfam family "Bacterial small subunit ribosomal RNA", at positions 29 to 429 of the family's 1533-position model. The record is from RNAcentral.
AACGAACGCUGGCGGCAGGCCUAACACAUGCAAGUCGAACGCUCCGCAAGGGGAGUGGCGCACGGGUGAGUAACACGUGGGAACCUACCUUCUGGUACGGAACAACCAAGGGAAACUUUGGCUAAGACCGUAUACGACCCCGGGUGAAAGAUUGAUCGCCGGAAGAGGGGCCCGCGUCCGAUUAGGUAGUUGGUGAGGUAACGGCUCACCAAGCCUUCGAUCGGUAGCUGGUCUGAGAGGAUGACCAGCCACACUGGGACUGAGACACGGCCCAGACUCCUACGGGAGGCAGCAGUGGGGAAUAUUGGACAAUGGGCGCAAGCCUGAUCCAGCCAUGCCGCGUGAGUGAUGAAGGCCUUCGGUUGUAAG